AAACUUUCAACAACGGAUCUCUUGGUUCUGGCAUCGAUGAAGAACGCAGCGAAAUGCGAUAAGUAAUGUGAAUUGCAGAAUUCAGUGAAUCAUCGAAUCUUUGAACGCACAUUGCGCCCAUUAGUAUUCUAGUGGGCAUGCCUGUACGAGCGUCAUU
This 157-nucleotide ribosomal RNA is filed under the name fungal endophyte sp. AP506. RNAcentral's name for it is "5.8S ribosomal RNA". It matches the Rfam family "5.8S ribosomal RNA". Rfam says of the family: 5.8S ribosomal RNA (5.8S rRNA) is a component of the large subunit of the eukaryotic ribosome. It is transcribed by RNA polymerase I as part of the 45S precursor that also contains 18S and 28S rRNA. The record is from RNAcentral. Lineage: Eukaryota; Fungi.